RNAcentral lists this ribosomal RNA (585 nucleotides) under uncultured Achromobacter sp. RNAcentral's name for it is "bacterial SSU rRNA". It matches the Rfam family "Bacterial small subunit ribosomal RNA", at positions 102 to 683 of the family's 1533-position model. The record is from RNAcentral. Lineage: Bacteria; Pseudomonadati; Pseudomonadota; Betaproteobacteria; Burkholderiales; Alcaligenaceae.
ACGGGUGAGUAAUGUAUCGGAACGUGCCUAGUAGCGGGGGAUAACUACGCGAAAGCGUAGCUAAUACCGCAUACGCCCUACGGGGGAAAGCAGGGGAUCGCAAGACCUUGCACUAUUAGAGCGGCCGAUAUCGGAUUAGCUAGUUGGUGGGGUAACGGCUCACCAAGGCGACGAUCCGUAGCUGGUUUGAGAGGACGACCAGCCACACUGGGACUGAGACACGGCCCAGACUCCUACGGGAGGCAGCAGUGGGGAAUUUUGGACAAUGGGGGAAACCCUGAUCCAGCCAUCCCGCGUGUGCGAUGAAGGCCUUCGGGUUGUAAAGCACUUUUGGCAGGAAAGAAACGUCAUGGGCUAAUACCCCGUGAAACUGACGGUACCUGCAGAAUAAGCACCGGCUAACUACGUGCCAGCAGCCGCGGUAAUACGUAGGGUGCAAGCGUUAAUCGGAAUUACUGGGCGUAAAGCGUGCGCAGGCGGUUCGGAAAGAAAGAUGUGAAAUCCCAGAGCUUAACUUUGGAACUGCAUUUUUAACUACCGAGCUAGAGUGUGUCAGAGGGAGGUGGAAUUCCGCGUGUAGCAGUG